Molecule: transfer RNA, 72 nt
Filed under: Deparia lancea
Lineage: Eukaryota; Viridiplantae; Streptophyta; Polypodiopsida; Polypodiales; Athyriaceae
Description: tRNA-Gln
Rfam family: tRNA
About the family: Transfer RNA (tRNA) molecules are approximately 80 nucleotides in length. Their secondary structure includes four short double-helical elements and three loops (D, anti-codon, and T loops).
Source: RNAcentral
UGGAGUAUAGCCAAGCGGUAAGGCAUCGGUUUUCGAUACCGACACGCAAAGGUUCGAAUCCUUUUACUCCAG